CGAAGGCACAGCAGCCGUGGUGGUGUGCCGUGGUGGUGUUUAUAAGUAAUCCCGCUAUGACCACCGACGAGCCAUCAACCAUGCAAAGUGUCAAUAGAGGACUAAAAUGGAAUUCUACUCCUCCAGCUCUGACGCGCGAUGGAUGUGCCAGGGCUUGCAAACUAUCACGGAUUACAAAGGGAAACCAAGCCGGGAGCUGCCCAGCAACGCAAGCCCACCAGACGAGCAAAUUCCUUCUAUUCUUGCUUUGAGUCAAGCAACACUGAACUAUGCAUGAGAGCACCAGCUGUUCCCGACGACUGAGUCUCGCUCUCCGUAGCCGGUAAAGAAGAUGGCGGAACGAAGAGAGGGCGGUGCAGCAGGUGCUGUUUCUCCUCCAGAUGCUGUUAUUUUAUCUAAAGAUUAGGUGUAUGCCAACCCCAGCUAACUAACUCUUGCAAAGAUUUAAAGCGCAAUUAUGUGUUUUAUCUCCAGUACAUUGCCACGAUUGUCAGCUAUGUAGCUGCUCUACUGAUAGUCUCAGCGCUUCCUUGCUGGGAUGACACAAUCAAUCUACUGUCGGGAAAUGCAAACUCCCCAGACAAACACCUGGGUUCACCAUUCCACACGAGCGGACAGUACACAUCAUACCAUAAUGUUCUGAAUAAUGGCCAACUCUACCUCGCUCCCUAUUCGACUGAAUCACUUGGGAGUAACAAACACAAGUCCAACACCUACCAGAAUCUGCUAAGCUACCUAUUCACUACCCUCCUGCUCUCUGGGGAGAUGCACCUCAACCCUGGGCCUAACACCACCGAACCAGAAAUACUCACCAGAGUGGAAAGCAGUGGAGGGCUGUGUCGUCAAAUCAUCGCCGCCACUGAGGUGGGUGAGUGUUAUGGUCCCAUGAUUUCUCUUGAGUCACCUGACUCCAAGAUGAAAUUUGACUCUACAAACAUAUCCAAGUCGCUAUACUCGAUCCCCGACUCUGCUUCUGGCACGCAAGCUGUUUUAAUUUGUUCCCCGCAUCCAAUGCAAGCGCAAGGGAUAGUUAAUUGCACUAACAAACUGCUCCUAUUCAAAACUAAACAAAACGGUCUAAACCCAGCAGUCAGAUAACACCAGUGUCUCACUCACGCUGGAGUCAUCUGGGACCCACAAGCUAAGCUCAAGGGGUACUAGAGGGGAACUUGAACAUUCACAGUGUCACUUCAAAAUGUGUUCACACAGAUUCCAACCUCGACUUCCUCAACCUUUCAGAGACACAGCUCCAUAAAAACUCUCCAUCUGCUGCUUUGAUUGUGAUUGGCUACAAUGUCUUCAGGAGAGACAGGAUUGAAGGAAGAGGAGGGGGUGUGAUGAUUUACAUUAAAGAACACAUCGAUGUAAACAAAUUGAGUGGUCAUGUGAUAAUGAACUAGAAUGUAUUGGCCUAAACGUUACACUGUCUCCCCAAAUGUCUUUUUACCCUCAUUGAAAUGUAUAGACCACCUUCCACCAAAAGUUUUUUUUAAACCAGUUUAAUAACAUACUUAGGAAAUUGGGAAAGAGUGGGAGAUCUUUUUUGGGAAAGAGUGGGAGAUCUUAACAUUAAUUAUGAAGACAAGUCUUGUAGGAAAACCCUCAAACGUAUCACUAAUGCCUUUGACCUUACACAGCCAACCAGGGUGACUUGUUCUUCUAAAACACAUAUCGAUUUGGUGUUCAGUAAUAAACCAGAGAGAUGGUUCAAUAUUCAAUAUGGCUACUGAGCUGUCUGACCAUAAUCUGACACUCAUAGCCAGAAAGCUUUCUAAGAACAGGUUUAACCUCUCUACUGUUAAAAAGCAUCAUAAACUCAGAAUACCUAAGGCUGAAUUUAAAUGAUUUUGAAAACGCAAUUAAGGGAAUUAACUGGAAUGAUCUUCUGUCCUAUACAAAUGUGGAAGCUGACAGUCAUGUUUUUCUAUCCACAAUCCUGACUACAGUAAAUGGCUUCCUAAAGAAAACUAAAUCCAAACCUGGCCAAAAUAGCACUCUUCCUUGUCUAAAUGGAGAAAUCUGGAAACUGAUGAAAGAACGAGAUCGUGCUCUAAAAAGUCCCUAAUUGGAGCAUGACAGAUGUAGGUUUACCAUGUUGAGAAAUAAGGUGAAGCCAAGGAAAAUUCUAAAAUGAUCUGGGAGAAUCGAAAAAAGUUAACAGGGAAAGACCAUAGCAACACUGCAAAAAGACUAGAACUCAAUGUGAAUUACAGUCUAACACAGGAUGCAGUCGAAACAACAGCCUUCAAUUUCUACUUUGUUGACUCUGUCAAUGUACUGACACAGAACACCUCCACUGGUUUCUUUGGCUCACUAAAGAACUCUAAAGCCAAAGAUGUGUUUGGGCUGGACUCUACCUUUCUUAAAAACUACAAAGAGUCACUCACUGGCCCCAUUACUAAGGGCACCAACACAUCUAUUUGCCAGGGGGUGUUUCCAGGGAUCUGGAAGUCGGCCAUAAUAACGCCCAUCUUUAAAUCAGGUGACCUUGCUGACGUGAGUAACUACAGACCCAUUGGUUUACUACCUGUGGUGUCGAAGGUUGCUGAAAAGUGUAUAGCAGAGAAUGAUUGCCCACCUCAACAACAGCCCCUUCACAUUACACUCCAUGCAGUUUGGCUUCAGCGCAAAACGCUCCACAGAAACGGCCAACUGCUUUCUUCUGGAAAAUGUGAAGUCCAAAAUGGACAAAGAGGGCGUUGUUGGGGCUGUGUUCUAGACCUAAGGAAAGCCUUUGAUACUGUUAACCAUGAGAUUCUCAUUACAAAACUGUCCAAGUUCAACUUUUCCCCCGAUGCCUUGAGAUGGAUGAAAUCAUACCUUGAAGGCAGAACCCUGUGUGUCAGAGUGAGCAAUGAGAUGUCUCCCACUCUUAGCUAAGAUGUGGGCAUGCCCCAAGGGUCAAUACUGGGGACCCUCCUGUUCAGUCUGUACAUUAAUGAUUUGCCCUCUGUCUCUGUCUGUACUGGGUCAUGAAGUUCAAAUGUCUGCAGAUGAUACAGUGAUAUAUGUGCAUGCAAAGAGCAAACAAGCUGCACAAGGACUCUACUGCAUUGGUCCAUAUUACAAAGUGGCUCAGUGACUCAUGUUUGCGUCUCAAUGUGUUUGUUAUUCACUGUGCAUUUAUUCCCCGUGUCACUAUUUCAAUUGUAUUUUUAUGUUUUAAUCUUUAUCUUUAACUCUGCAUUGUUGGAAAGGACCCGUAAGUAAGCAUUUCACUGUUAGCCUACCAUCUGUUGUUUACGAAGUGUGUGACAAAUACAAUUUGAUUUGAUUUGACUUCCUGUGACUCACUUCCCCUCUGCAUGUUGGGCUCUGCUGAGAUUAACACACACACACAAUGGGGAAAAACCC
Oncorhynchus tshawytscha (Chinook salmon) is the source of this 3354-nucleotide long non-coding RNA. The record is from Ensembl. Lineage: Eukaryota; Metazoa; Chordata; Actinopteri; Salmoniformes; Salmonidae.